AUGCACGCUGGCGGCGUGCCUAAUACAUGCAAGUCGAGCGAACAGACGAGGAGCUUGCUCCUCUGACGUUAGCGGCGGACGGGUGAGUAACACGUGGAUAACCUACCUAUAAGACUGGGAUAACUUCGGGAAACCGGAGCUAAUACCGGAUAAUAUAUUGAACCGCAUGGUUCAAUAGUGAAAGACGGUUUUGCUGUCACUUAUAGAUGGAUCCGCGCCGCAUUAGCUAGUUGGUAAGGUAACGGCUUACCAAGGCGACGAUGCGUAGCCGACCUGAGAGGGUGAUCGGCCACACUGGAACUGAGACACGGUCCAGACUCCUACGGGAGGCAGCAGUAGGGAAUCUUCCGCAAUGGGCGAAAGCCUGACGGAGCAACGCCGCGUGAGUGAUGAAGGUCUUCGGAUCGUAAAACUCUGUUAUUAGGGAAGAACAAAUGUGUAAGUAACUAUGCACGUCUUGACGGUACCUAUCAGAAAGCCACGGCUAACUACGUG
This 495-nucleotide ribosomal RNA is filed under the name uncultured bacterium. RNAcentral's name for it is "partial 16S ribosomal RNA". It matches the Rfam family "Bacterial small subunit ribosomal RNA", at positions 29 to 507 of the family's 1533-position model. The record is from RNAcentral.